UCCAUCCAAUAUCUGACUGA
This 20-nucleotide unclassified non-coding RNA is filed under the name Mus musculus (house mouse). RNAcentral describes it as "oocyte_clustered_small_RNA7453". The record is from RNAcentral. Lineage: Eukaryota; Metazoa; Chordata; Mammalia; Rodentia; Muridae.